Molecule: long non-coding RNA, 1649 nt
Filed under: Macaca fascicularis (crab-eating macaque)
Lineage: Eukaryota; Metazoa; Chordata; Mammalia; Primates; Cercopithecidae
Description: lncRNA (ENSMFAG00000057188.1)
Source: RNAcentral
ACCGUGGAAACCAGUUUAGAGAUUCUCAAAGAACUUAGAACUACCAUCAGACCCAGCAAUUCCACUACACUUGGUAUCUACCCAAAAGACAAUAAAUCCUUCUUCAAAAAGACACAAGCUCUCCUGCAUUCAUGGCCAUGCUGUUCACAAGAACAAAGAUGUGAAAGCAUCCUAGGUGACCAGCAACAGUGGUUGACUUUUUUUUUUUUAAUGUGGUGCAUACACACCACAAAAUACUACACAGCCAUAAGAAAAACACACAAUCAUGUCCUAAGCAGCGUGGAUAGACCUGGGGCUUAUUACAUUUAGCAAAUCAAGGCAAGAACGGAAAACCAAACACUCCAUGUUCUCACUUAUGAGUGGGAGCUAAACAGUGAAUACAUUCAAACAUAAAGAUGCAAACAAUAGACACUGGGGACUAUCAGAUGAAAAAAGGAGGCAGAAAGCGGGUGUGGGCAGAAGAAUCACCUGAUUGGCACUUUGCUCUCUACCUGGGUGAUGGGGUCAGUGGCCACAAGCCUCAGUGUCAUCAAAUGUUCACGUGUAACUAACCUACAUUUUAAUCAAAAUAAAAGUCUAUUUUUUUUUUUUAAAAAAAAACAGGGUUUCCCUGGGCACAGUGGCUCCCACAAGUACUCACGCACCUUGGGAGGCUGAGGCAGGCAGAUCAGUUGAGCCUGGGAGUUCAAGAGAAGUCUGGACAACAUGGCAAAACCCUACCUCUACAAAAAGUAUAAAAAAAUUAGUGGGGCAUGGUGGUGCGCACCUGUAGUCCCAGCUACUUGGGAGGCUGAGGAGAGAGGAUCACUUGAGCCCAGGAGGUCAAGGCUGCCAUGAGCCAAGACUGCAGCACUGCACUCCAGCCUGGGUGACAGAGCAAUAACCAGCCUCAAAAAAAAAAAAAAAAGGAUUAGGAUGUAUGCAUUAUAGAUAGAUAGAUAGAUAGAUAGAUAGAUAGAUAGAUAGAUAGAUAGGUAGGUAGAUAGAUAGAUAGAUAGAUAGAUACAUGGAUGAUAGACAAAACAAAACCUACAGUCAUCCAGGCAAUCACUGACUGGCAUAAACAUAGAAAGACAACCAAAUGGACAAAAUGAGGGAGCCAAGUAAUCAAUCCAAAAUUAGUGCAGACAUUUUUCAAAAGCACACCAAAGACACAACAGUUGAGAAAACUGGGUACUCAUGUGCACAAGAUUGAACUAGCACCUCUAUGUUGCCCAAUACACAAAAAUCUAUGAAAAACAAAUCAAAGAGUUAAAUUCAGUCCGGAGAGCAAAACACUCCAAGGAGAAAAUAUGGGAUAAGCAUAUAUUUAGGGAAAACUUGACCCUGUGCACACAGGUUGCAAAAAGAAAAAAGAAAAAGAGGCCGGGCGCGGUGGCUCAAGCCUGUAAUCCCAGCACUUUGGGAGGCCGAGGCGAGCACGAGGUCAGGAGAUCGAGACCAUCCUGGCUAACCAGGUGAAACCCCAUCUCUACUAAAAAUACAAAAACUAGCGGGCGAGGUGCGAGCCUGUAGUCCCAGCUACUCAGGAGGCUGAGGCAGGAGAAUGGCGGGAACCCGGAGGCGGAGCUUGCAGUGAGCUGAGAUCGCGCCACAGCACUCCAGCCUGGCGACAGAGUAAGACUCCGUCUCAAAAAAAAAAAGAAAAA